Molecule: non-coding RNA, 75 nt
Organism: Merluccius polli (Benguela hake)
Lineage: Eukaryota; Metazoa; Chordata; Actinopteri; Gadiformes; Merlucciidae
Source: the annotation of a GenBank genome assembly
GUGGUAAUGACUCAACUGGUAGAGCAUGGCAUUAACAUUUCCAGGGUUAGGGGUUCGAUUCCCACUGGGACCACC